UACGUAGGGUGCGAGCGUUAAUCGGAAUUACUGGGCGUAAAGUGUGCGCAGGCGGCGUCGCAAGUCGAGUGUGAAAGCCCCGGGCUUAACUUGGGAAUUGCGCUCGAAACUACGGCGCUGGAGUGUGGCAGAGGAAGGUGGAAUUCCACGUGUAGCGGUGAAAUGCGUAGAUAUGUGGAGGAACACCGAUCGCGAAGGCAGCCUUCUGGGCCAACACUGACGCUCAUGCACGAAAGCGUGGGGAGCAAACAGG
This 253-nucleotide ribosomal RNA is filed under the name uncultured bacterium. RNAcentral describes it as "partial 16S ribosomal RNA". It matches the Rfam family "Bacterial small subunit ribosomal RNA", at positions 524 to 776 of the family's 1533-position model. The record is from RNAcentral.